This 819-nucleotide ribosomal RNA is filed under the name Triticum aestivum (bread wheat). Its description in RNAcentral is "partial small subunit ribosomal RNA". Lineage: Eukaryota; Viridiplantae; Streptophyta; Magnoliopsida; Poales; Poaceae. The record is from RNAcentral.
AUGGACGAGGGCUACGCCAGCCUCCCCACCAGCCACCUCCUCGGCUCCGUCCCCGCUGUGGUUGUGGCUCCCGAUGAGAGGAAGCCCGGUGCCCCGGCCGAAGUUGGAAAUGCCGCUGCCACCUCGCGCCUGCAGCAGUUUCCGCCUGCUCCUGCUGCCAACGGAGGAGGUUACCAGCCUCCAGGGAGUCCUCUAGGUGGAGAUGUAGAAACACAGACAAACUGGAAAGGAUACUUCAAUGUUGCCUCUUAUACUCCAUAUUUCAAUGUUGAUACUGAUGUCGUUGUUGACAGACUUAUCAGUUCAGUUUAUCCAAUGGAGGGAUUUUUCAGGAAGAUAGAUGCUAAUCCUGACAUGUAUGGGCCCUUAUGGAUUACCACUACACUGAUAUUCAUGCUGGCUGCAUUCGGAAACUUUGCCACUUAUCUAAUGCAAAGGAAAAGUGAUCUGAACAUAUGGAACUUUGAUGUUAGCUAUUUCAGUUUGGCGGCAUCAGUCAUGUACGGUUAUGCUAUCGUGGUACCUGCUGCAUUCUUUUUCCUGUUUCAGUACUUUGGAUCACGCCCAAGCCUUAUCCGGUUUUGGUGUAUGUGGGGCUAUUCUCUGUUUAUCUUCGUACCAGCAUCUAUACUGCUACUUAUUCCUGUGGAAUUUCUUCGCUGGGUCAUCAUAGCUGGUGCUGGUGGUGCAUCAUCUUGGUUCAUCUUUUUAAACUUGAAGGAAUGCACCGAAGGAGCUGAUAUGAUGGCUUUGAUCGCAAGUGCAUCAGUGCUGCAGUUUGCUCUGGCACUGUUCAUCAAAGUUUUCUUUUUUGCCUGA